UGGCGAACGGGUGAGUAACACGUGGGUAAUCUGCCCUGCACUCUGGGAUAAGCCUGGGAAACUGGGUCUAAUACUGGAUAUGACCUUUCUCCUUAUGGGGUUUGGUGGAAAGUUUUUCGGUGUAGGAUGAGCCCGCGGUCUAUCAGCUUGUUGGUGGGGUGAUGGCCUACCAAGGCGACGACGGGUAGCCGGCCUGAGAGGGUGAUCGGCCACAUUGGGACUGAGAUACGGCCCAG
This 236-nucleotide ribosomal RNA is filed under the name uncultured Actinomycetales bacterium. RNAcentral describes it as "partial 16S ribosomal RNA". It matches the Rfam family "Bacterial small subunit ribosomal RNA", at positions 96 to 334 of the family's 1533-position model. Lineage: Bacteria; Bacillati; Actinomycetota; Actinomycetes; Actinomycetales. The record is from RNAcentral.